RNAcentral lists this ribosomal RNA (234 nucleotides) under uncultured bacterium. RNAcentral's name for it is "partial 16S ribosomal RNA". It matches the Rfam family "Bacterial small subunit ribosomal RNA", at positions 100 to 334 of the family's 1533-position model. The record is from RNAcentral.
GAACGGGUGCGUAACACGUGAGCAAUCUGCCGAUUUCUGGGGGAUAGCCGGCCCAACGGCCGGGUAGUACCGCAUACGUUCUCGAGGGGGAGUCCUCUUGGGAAGAAACCUCCGGGGGAAAUCGAGGAGCUCGCGGCCUAUCAGCUAGUUGGCGGUGUAAUGGACCACCAAGGCUAUGACGGGUAGCUGGUCUGAGAGGAUGGCCAGCCACAUUGGGACUGAGAGACGGCCCAG